UGUAUAUGUCUGAGUGUGUGUGUUUGUGCGUGUGCUCGCUCUGUUCCUUUCCUUUCUUUGUUUGACUACUGAGUGGGAGAAAAAAAAAGAGAAAGAAGCGAGACAGAAUAUAGAGAGAUAGUGAGAGAGGGUGAGGAAGAGAAAACACAGACAGAGGAGAAGAAGAGGAGGAUCUAAAAGGAGAGUUUAUUUUUUAGACAAGAAGAAAGACAAAGAGGAUUUCUGUUUUGGGGCUGCUUUCUUUUUUUCCUUCUGUUCUAUACUUGCAGAAUAGAAUAGGAAAUAUAUAUAUAUAAAUACAAAAACAACAACAACAACAGUGCUGCAUGCUUUUGACAACAGUGUCAUAUUCAGUGAGUGUUUUGUGUGCUGGCUCAGUGCGCGUGUGUGCUGAGGAGGUGGGGGGAGGCAGCCUGUGCAAUUUAAAGGGAAAAUACAAGACACACACAAAGCUGGGAGCGCAGGCAAGGCAAGGCAAGGCAAGGCAGCAGGAAAGGCAAAAGGAAAGGGAAGCUAGUGGGAAUCUGCUGAGCUGGCUCCCACCAACAAGACUCUUUUUGGAUUUUACUCCAGCGAAGCCGGCUCCGUGUCUCCCCUGUGCACUCAGCCUGCUCCCGGCAACGGAGGUGCUGAUCUUUUAACUUCUGACUGAAGUGGUGAUGAAUUGAUGACCGCUGCUUCAACUCGCUCUGGAAUGUCACAGAUGUGUUUGACCCAGUUUUAACAAAAGGUGAAAAUAGAAAUGCUCCAAAUUUCCAAAGUUGUGUCAUUUUGGUGGAUUAAAUUAUACAUCGAAAGUCUUUUACAAUCUUUUUUGUGUGAAUGUUGAUCGGGUAAAGCAACAGAAUCCCUCUGAAGUUUUUCCUCUCGCUCUUGUGGUUGUUGACACAGUAAACCUCUCGACUGACCUUUGGUUCUCCACGUUGUGGUUUCAG
Molecule: long non-coding RNA, 935 nt
Organism: Amphiprion ocellaris (clown anemonefish)
Lineage: Eukaryota; Metazoa; Chordata; Actinopteri; Pomacentridae
Source: Ensembl